AUAUCGCGAGAGAGUUUGAUCAUGGCUCGGAACGAACGCUGGCGGCAGGCUUAACACAUGCAAGUCGAGCGCCCCCGCAAGGGGAGCGGCAGACGGGUGAGUAACGCGUGGGAAUCUACCCUUUUCUACGGAAUAACGCAGGGAAACUUGUGCUAAUACCGUAUGUGUCCUUCGGGAGAAAGAUUUAUCGGGAAAGGAUGAGCCCGCGUUGGAUUAGCUAGUUGGUGGGGUAAAGGCCUACCAAGGCGACGAUCCAUAGCUGGUCUGAGAGGAUGAUCAGCCACAUUGGGACUGAGACACGGCCCAAACUCCUACGGGAGGCAGCAGUGGGGAAUAUUGGACAAUGGGCGCAAGCCUGAUCCAGCCAUGCCGCGUGAGUGAUGAAGGCCCUAGGGUUGUAAAGCUCUUUCACCGGAGAAGAUAAUGACGGUAUCCGGAGAAGAAGCCCCGGCUAACUUCGUGCCAGCAGCCGCGGUA
Molecule: ribosomal RNA, 477 nt
Filed under: uncultured Rhizobiaceae bacterium
Lineage: Bacteria; Pseudomonadati; Pseudomonadota; Alphaproteobacteria; Hyphomicrobiales; Rhizobiaceae
Description: bacterial SSU rRNA
Rfam family: Bacterial small subunit ribosomal RNA
Source: RNAcentral